RNAcentral lists this long non-coding RNA (231 nucleotides) under Elaeis guineensis (African oil palm). RNAcentral describes it as "long non-coding RNA (EGUI_LNC068666)". The record is from RNAcentral. Lineage: Eukaryota; Viridiplantae; Streptophyta; Magnoliopsida; Arecales; Arecaceae.
CAUGAAUUAAUUAAAUUUUCUUUCAAAAAUAAAUAAUUUUAAAAAAAAUAAAAUUAAGGCAUAUUUAUGAAAAAUAGAUAUUAAUUUAGUUGAAUAAUUUAAGCACCAAAAUAAUAAGAAAUUUUUGAAAAAUUUAAUGCAUAUUUUUUCUUAUGUUUUAGGUAAAAAAUUAGAGCAAAAAUCGAGUCAAAAUAUCUUAAAAAAUAAAAAAUAUUACCUUCGGUGCAUGGU